UGGGGAAUAUUGGACAAUGGGCGCAAGCCUGAUCCAGCAAUGCCGCGUGAGUGAUGAAGGCCUUAGGGUUGUAAAGCUCUUUCGCACGCGACGAUGAUGACGGUAGCGUGAGAAGAAGCCCCGGCUAACUUCGUGCCAGCAGCCGCGGUAAUACGGAGGGGGCUAGCGUUGUUCGGAAUUACUGGGCGUAAAGGGCGCGUAGGCGGCCUGUUUAGUCAGAAGUGAAAGCCCCGGGCUCAACCUGGGAAUAGCUUUUGAUACUGGCAGGCUUGAGUUCCGGAGAGGAUGGUGGAAUUCCCAGUGUAGAGGUGAAAUUCGUAGAUAUUGGGAAGAACACCGGUGGCGAAGGCGGCCAUCUGGACGGACACUGACGCUGAGGCGCGAAAGCGUGGGGAGCAAACAGGAUUAGAUACCCUGGUAGUCCACGCCGUAAACGNUGAAUGCUNGACGUCGGGGUGCAUGCACUUCGGUGUCGCCGCUAACGCAUUAAGCAUUCCGCCUGGGGAGUACGGCCGCAAGGUUAAAACUCAAAUGAAUUGACGGGGUCAUAGCUGUUUCCU
This 560-nucleotide ribosomal RNA is filed under the name uncultured bacterium. RNAcentral describes it as "partial 16S ribosomal RNA". It matches the Rfam family "Bacterial small subunit ribosomal RNA", at positions 355 to 1375 of the family's 1533-position model. The record is from RNAcentral.